RNAcentral lists this ribosomal RNA (884 nucleotides) under Gigaspora margarita. Its description in RNAcentral is "eukaryotic LSU rRNA". It matches the Rfam family "Eukaryotic large subunit ribosomal RNA", at positions 1 to 801 of the family's 3401-position model. The record is from RNAcentral. Lineage: Eukaryota; Fungi; Glomeromycota; Glomeromycetes; Diversisporales; Gigasporaceae.
ACCUCAAGUCAUGUGAGAUUACCCGCUGAACUUAAGCAUAUCAAUAAGCGGAGGAAAAGAAACUAACAAGGAUUCCCCUAGUAACGGCGAGUGAAGCGGGAAGAGCACAAAUUUAAAAUCUACCUGGUUUUCAGGUCGAGUUGUAAUUUGAAGAUACGUUUUUGAUGUUCCAGGUUGGACUAAAUCCUUUGGGAUAAGGUAUCAUAGAGGGUGAGAAUCCCGUAUAUACCAACCGUAGGGAUGUUAUUAAAUACGUUUCUAAGAGUCGAGUUGUUUGGGAAUGCAGCUCUAAAUGGGUGGUAAAUUUCACCUAAUGCUAAAUAUAAGCGAGAGACCGAUAGCGAACAAGUACAGUGAUGGAAAGAUGAAAAGAACUUUGAAAAGAGAGUUAAAUAGUACGUGAAAUUGUUGAAAGGGAAACGAUUGAAGUCAGUCAUGCCGGUGGGAAUCAACUUAGGGGAAACUCUGGGUGCACUUCUUCGCUUGGCAGGUCAACGUCGAUUUUGAAUGUCAUAAAAUAAUUGGGGGAAGGUAGCUCCUUCGGGAGUGUUAUAGCCCUUGAUAGAUGUGAUGUUUGAGGUCGAGGAUUGCAACGGAUACCCUUCGGGGCUAGCUGCCUGAUCUCUAAUUGGUGUUGGGUUACGGAUAGCAUGCUGACCGUGAUCUAAUUACUGGUUAAAAGGUUAGAGUGUGCAUAAAUUCGUUAAGGACGUUGACGUAAUGGCUUUAAACGACCCGUCUUGAAACACGGACCAAGGAGUCUAACAUGUAUGCGAGUGUUAGGGUAUUAAACCCAGACGCGAAAUGAAAGUGAGUGUAGGUGGGAUCCUUUAUUGGAGCACCAUCGACCGAUCUUGAGAUUUAUCGAUAGANNNNNNUAGAGC